UUGAAAGGGAAACGAUUGAAGUCAGUCGUACCUAUGGGUAAUCAGCCUUUUGGGUGUGAUUUUGUGGAGCGUGAGGAGUUAAACGCCUUCAUGCCUGCAUAUUCGUGCACUUUGGGUGUACUUGCCCGUGUGUAAGUUAACAUCAAUUUUGGUGGUCAUAAAAUGGCUGGAGGAAUGUAGCUUCGAUCUUGUAUUGAAGUGUUAUAGCCUUCGGUAGAUGUGACGAUCGGGAUUGAGGAUUGCAACGGAUACCCUUCGGGGCUACCUGUCUGAUCUCUGAUUGUUGCUCUGGUGCCGAAAGCUUGCUUACGGUUAUUAAAGUCGAUGGUCAAUAGGUUAGAAUGGGUUAAAUUCGUUAAGGAUGUUGACGU
Molecule: ribosomal RNA, 371 nt
Filed under: uncultured Glomeromycotina
Lineage: Eukaryota; Fungi; Glomeromycota
Description: LSU rRNA
Source: RNAcentral